This 375-nucleotide ribosomal RNA is filed under the name Streptomyces griseus. RNAcentral's name for it is "bacterial SSU rRNA". It matches the Rfam family "Bacterial small subunit ribosomal RNA", at positions 132 to 521 of the family's 1533-position model. The record is from RNAcentral. Lineage: Bacteria; Bacillati; Actinomycetota; Actinomycetes; Kitasatosporales; Streptomycetaceae.
UUCACUCUGGGACAAGCUCUGGAAACGGGGUCUAAUACCGGAUAACACUCUGUCCCGCAUGGGACGGGGUUAAAAGCUCCGGCGGUGAAGGAUGAGCCCGCGGCCUAUCAGCUUGUUGGUGGGGUAAUGGCCUACCAAGGCGACGACGGGUAGCCGGCCUGAGAGGGCGACCGGCCACACUGGGACUGAGACACGGCCCAGACUCCUACGGGAGGCAGCAGUGGGGAAUAUUGCACAAUGGGCGAAAGCCUGAUGCAGCGACGCCGCGUGAGGGAUGACGGCCUUCGGGUUGUAAACCUCUUUCAGCAGGGAAGAAGCGAAAGUGACGGUACCUGCAGAAGAAGCGCCGGCUAACUACGUGCCAGCAGCCGCGGU